UACGGGGGGGGCAAGCGUUGUUCGGAAUUACUGGGCGUAAAGGGCUCGUAGGUGGCCAACUAAGUCGGACGUGAAAUCCCUCGGCUUAACCGGGGAACUGCGUCCGAUACUGGUUGGCUUGAGUUUGGGAGAGGGAUGCGGAAUUCCAGGUGUAGCGGUGAAAUGCGCAGAUAUCAGGAGGAACACCGGUGGCGAAGGCGGCUUGCUGGGCCUUACCUGACGCUGAGGAGCGAAAGCGUGGGGAGCGAACAGG
This 253-nucleotide ribosomal RNA is filed under the name uncultured bacterium. RNAcentral's name for it is "partial 16S ribosomal RNA". It matches the Rfam family "Bacterial small subunit ribosomal RNA", at positions 524 to 776 of the family's 1533-position model. The record is from RNAcentral.